Molecule: ribosomal RNA, 301 nt
Filed under: uncultured bacterium
Lineage: Bacteria
Description: partial 16S ribosomal RNA
Rfam family: Bacterial small subunit ribosomal RNA
Source: RNAcentral
CAGUAGCCGCGGUAAUACGUAAGUGGCAAGCGUUGUCCGGAAUUAUUGGGCGUAAAGGGCUCGCAGGCGGUUUCUUAAGUCUGAUGUGAAAGCCCCCGGCUCAACCGGGGAGGGUCAUUGGAAACUGGGAAACUUGAGUGCAGAAGAGGAGAGUGGGAUCCCAUGUGUAGCGGUGAAAUGCGUAGAGAUGUGGAGGAACACCAGUGGCGAAGGCGACUCUCUGGUCUGUAACUGACGCUGAGGAGCGAAAGUGUGGGGAGCGAACAGGAUUAGAUACCCCCGUAGUCCCUGUCUCUUAUAC